Molecule: ribosomal RNA, 555 nt
Filed under: Triticum aestivum (bread wheat)
Lineage: Eukaryota; Viridiplantae; Streptophyta; Magnoliopsida; Poales; Poaceae
Description: partial small subunit ribosomal RNA
Source: RNAcentral
GCAGGAAGUUGUUUGUGGCUACGCGGUAAGACGGGAGUGGAGAACACAAGGUCAUGUCGUUGUGAGUGUCCUGCGUUGAUAAGCUUGUUGAGAUCAAAGGACAAUGGCUGCUACAUAGCAGAGCCCCGGGAGCAACACAACCACUCAAUGUCGUCGACGUAUGGCCAAAUAAUACACCGGCCAUCACACAAUCAUAUACAUUUAUACAAUAGGAAUUUGGUGAAACAGCUCCGGCAAAACAACGGGAACCUAGCGAAGGUCUGCAGUGUUAUAGGCGGCUUCUUUGAAUCCAUGGAGAAGCUACCUUUCACAAAGAGGGCACUGAAAAAUUUGUAUGGUUAGAUAAGCCGUGAGCAAGCUGAGGAUGAUGUUUGGAAAACAAUGGAAGUUCUUGGAGAGCUUGGUGCGAGAGAUCCAGACUUCACGUACCGUGUGCAAUAUGACAAGGAUAGCAGGAUCACAUCAUUGAUGUGGGCAAAUGGAAGUAGUAGAUUGCAGUACACGUUCUUCGUCGGUGUUGUUACAUUUGACAUGACUUAUAGGACAAACAUGUAA